AGUAGUUCUGCCUUUUUAACUCUUGAAGAUUCUGCGAAAAAAACAGCAAAGGAUGGAAGAUGUUGUGUUUUAAUUUUGCUUUGACAUUGGAGAUCAGCUUAUGUACAAGAAUUGCUGGUGUUCUUCCUCUUUUAAAGAAGCAAGACGACUCAAAUGAUGACCUGUAGCAGGGGUUGGUAAACUUUUGUCUGUGAAGGACCGGAUAAUUGUGAACCAAGAGUCAUUACUGGACAGUACUAGCUUCAAACAUACGCUGCAAAACUUGCAAGAUAGAGGCAUCUUCACUCCAUCCUGAGAAGUUGUGCCAGAGAGCUUGAAUGAGUCUGCCCUUCUCACAACCUUUGAAAACUUCACUAGAGAACUGAGAAGAAAAUACAAGGACCAAAGGGACCUAUGUGGAAAUCAGAAGCAUGGUUUGGUUUCAAUGGUAGUGUUUUCACACAGCUGAACUACCGGAAAACAAUGAUUUGGUCAUGCUAAUAGAUAAGGAAGAGAAAAGAGGGAACCAAGCGAAGGACUGGAGAGGAGUUGGGGACAAAGAAGGAGGUAGACUGUGGCUGGUUGGUCAGCUGAGUUGUGGCAGGUCUUGAGACACAUGCAUGUACAGGUUGUCCUAAAAUCUUGUCUACGGGAUGAACAUUAGAGCUAUUUUAGUCCCCUCCUUUUUCUGUCCAGUUAUUUAUAAAUCUCUAAUGACUUAUUAGCACUUUCGAGAAAAGUAUCUUAUCCUAACCAAAUUCAUUUAACUAACUUGGAAGAUCUUCAAAGUCCUGUCUUACUUUCUGUGAUACCAAUGUAAGCCGAUUUAUUAUGGGUAUUUGUUCACAGUAUUCAAUAUGCGUAUUGGUAGCAUGAAUAUAAAUUUUCCCAUUUUAGCUUGUUCUGUAUUGCUAAUGCCUGAAAGGUGUGUAGGGGGAUGCCUUAUCAUAGUUCUUGAACACUAAUGCUAGCUAUGAAUAUUACCAUGUGCUGGCAGCGUCUUUUUAACACAAACCAUGCACUCAACUUACAUAUUUAUAUUUAACCAAAAUGUGAUCAUUUUGUUGUUGUGGUGGUGGUUUAGGUUAGGUACAGAAGGAGUCCACUUUAUUCAAAAGAUGCAAAGAAAGCACCGAAUUGCAUAAUGAAACUUUUAAACCAGAUAUACCUGUGCAGACUCAAUAAGCUAGAGAAGUUUCAGAAUUUUGUUCUUCAAGGGUUGAGCAAUCUUGAGAAGGAUAUUCAGCCCCUGGAACACCUUGAAAAGGACGCUCUGGAGUUCGAGGGGAAACAGUCUGCUGAUCUGAAAUUGUUCUGUGAUCUGCAAGUGCUGAGGUGUUCCUCUGCACCCUGACCGUCUGUCCUCUGAGGAUCCGUUUCGUCUUCAGGCGAUGGCUUCCUGAGGCCAGUAGGUGCUAACACACACCUCAGGUGAGUGUGUCCACAACUGACUCCUGUCCUCUGCUUCCCUGCCCUGUCCCAGUUCAGACCCUCCCCUGCAGAGCUGUGGCAUCACCGCCUGCUCCUGCAACUCAGAAUUUUACAUUUGACUCUCUCCCUGCCGAUGUUUUGUGGCGUCUCCCAGUGAAAUCUCCUAUAGGAUCUAGCCUACAUCUUCCCUAAUUCUGUGGGGGGAAAUGCCACAACUGUGCCUCUUCCCCUGCCGUCUCCUAGCUCUUCUCCUUUUCCCAGUAACAAUAAUUUGGCUGCUUGUGGUUCUUGGUCCACGCCAACAUCUCGCCCACUCACCCUGCUGGAUACCAUGACAGCUCCCGCUUAGCGAGGCACUCCAGGCUGUACUCUUUCAGCCUCAUCUUCUGCCCUGACCUUACUUACCCUGUACUUACUUACCCUGUACCGAA
Molecule: RNA transcript, 1841 nt
Organism: Lemur catta (Ring-tailed lemur)
Lineage: Eukaryota; Metazoa; Chordata; Mammalia; Primates; Lemuridae
Gene name: synaptonemal complex protein 2-like
Exons: 9
Source: RefSeq, a predicted model, not a curated record